This 92-nucleotide microRNA precursor is filed under the name Podarcis lilfordi (Lilford's wall lizard). Lineage: Eukaryota; Metazoa; Chordata; Lepidosauria; Squamata; Lacertidae. The record is from RNAcentral.
UCCAGCUGUUUUGGGACUACAAUGCCCAUCAUCCCUGACCACCGGUCCUGUUUCCUAGGGAUGAUGGGAGUUUUAGUCCCAAAACAGCUGGA